AACGAACGCUGGCGGCAGGCUUAACACAUGCAAGUCGAACGCAUCCUUCGGGGUGAGUGGCAGACGGGUGAGUAACGCGUGGGAACGUGCCCUUCAGUUCGGGAUAACCCAGGGAAACUUGGGCUAAUACCGGAUACGUGCGAGAGCAGAAAGAUUUAUCGCUGAAGGAUCGGCCCGCGUCUGAUUAGCUAGUUGGUGGGGUAAUGGCCCACCAAGGCGACGAUCAGUAGCUGGUCUGAGAGGAUGAUCAGCCACAUUGGGACUGGGACACGGCCCAAACUCCUACGGGAGGCAGCAGUGGGAAUAUUGGACAAUGGGCGCAAGCUUGAUCCAGCCAUGCCGCGUGAGUGAUGAAGGCCUUAGGGUUGUAAAGCUCUUUCGUCCGGGACGAUAAUGACGGUACCGGAAGAAGAAGCCCCGGCUAACUUCGUGCCAGCAGCCGCGGUAA
Molecule: ribosomal RNA, 448 nt
Filed under: uncultured bacterium
Lineage: Bacteria
Description: partial 16S ribosomal RNA
Rfam family: Bacterial small subunit ribosomal RNA
Source: RNAcentral